UACGAAGGGGGCUAGCGUUGCUCGGAAUUACUGGGCGUAAAGCGCACGUAGGCGGCUCUUUAAGUCGGAGGUGAAAUCCUGGAGCUCAACUCCAGAACUGCCCUCGAUACUGAAGAGCUCGAGUCCGGGAGAGGUGAGUGGAACUGCGAGUGUAGAGGUGAAAUUCGUAGAUAUUCGCAAGAACACCAGUGGCGAAGGCGGCUCACUGGCCCGGUACUGACGCUGAGGUGCGAAAGCGUGGGGAGCAAACAGG
Molecule: ribosomal RNA, 253 nt
Filed under: uncultured bacterium
Lineage: Bacteria
Description: partial 16S ribosomal RNA
Rfam family: Bacterial small subunit ribosomal RNA
Source: RNAcentral